Gadus macrocephalus (Pacific cod) is the source of this 1219-nucleotide long non-coding RNA. RefSeq lists it as uncharacterized. The transcript has 2 exons. The record is from RefSeq and is a predicted model, not a curated record. Lineage: Eukaryota; Metazoa; Chordata; Actinopteri; Gadiformes; Gadidae.
UCCAGGCUCAUAUGCACAGGUGCCGACGCACUUGGAAGCGCACACGCACCGCACUGCUCCGCGCAUCCUCCCGCUCCCAACUGCAGGCCAAUAGGCGCCGUCUGCCUGCCCCCCAGUACGCUCCCGGACAGUCGGUGUGGCUUCGGGCGAAGGAUCUUCCCUUGAAGGGGAUCUCCCCUAAGAUCUCUCCCCGGUUCAUCAGCCCUUUCGAAGUGGAGUCUGUCAUCAACCCCUGUGCCGUUCGUCUCUGAAUCCCUCCAUCUCUCCGUGUCCAUCCGACCUUCCAUGUCUCCCAGCUCAAGCCUGUCUCCACCAGCCCGUUGUCUCCUCCCGCUACGCCUCCACCUCCGCCCAGGGUCAUCGACAACCAUCCGGCGUGGACAGUCCGCCGCCUCCUGGAGGUGCGUCGCCGCGGCCGGGGCCACCAGUAUCUUGUCGACUGGGAGGGGUACGGGCCCGAGGAGCGCUCCUGGGUUCCCCGGAGGAGUAUCCUGGAUGCCUCGCUGGUUCGGGAUUUCCAUCGGGACCAUCCGUCGGCUGUGGGUCGUCCGCCGAGAGGCGUCCCUAGAGGGGGGGGUACUGUCGCGUCCUGCUACGCGGUCCAAUGCCGCCAUCUAGUGGCUAUGGGACGCUGGUGGGCCUCCUUCUCCCGCACCUGGACGUAAUUAUCCUUAAUGAUCGUCCCUACAUCAGCCGGGGAUUUCCUAUCAGCCGGCGCCAGUUCGUCGCUACGUCUUUACAUAUUCUCCGGUCGCCGAACCCCUGCCUGCCUGACUACCCGCCUGCUGUCGCUCCCUUGCUUGCCUGUUAUCGAACCCCUGCCUGUCUGACUCUCCUGCCGGUUCCUGAUCCCCGCCUGUCUGACUCUCCUUCUGGUUCCUGAUCCUCGCCUGUCUGACUCUCCUGCCGGUUCCUGAUCCCCGCCUGUCUGACUACCCCGUUGGUUCCUGAUCCCUGCUUGUCUGACUACUCGCCUGUCUACGGAAUAAACCCCUUUCCUUUAUUCCGUCUCCGUCUCCCUGUGUCCAGCAUUUGGGUCCACUCGUCUGUUCCGUGACAGAUUUGGCCACUUCCAGGCCAAUCCAAUUAGAAUCUGCUUUUCUGUUACGUUGAGCAUGUAUGAAGCAUUGUCUGUGUAUUUAUUUUGCAGACAGGUCAGCAUAUAACAUAUAGUAUUUGUGAGUGUGUAAAUGAACAAGCACAUAAAAAUGUUUGACAC